Molecule: long non-coding RNA, 1423 nt
Organism: Suricata suricatta (meerkat)
Lineage: Eukaryota; Metazoa; Chordata; Mammalia; Carnivora; Herpestidae
Exons: 2
Source: RefSeq, a predicted model, not a curated record
GGACCGGCUGCGGGAGCGGGGCCGCGACGGCGAGCGGCGGCACCUCCCGGGCGCCCCGUAGCGCCGUUCCCGGUAGCGGCGGCCGCGAGAGCGCGACCGGCUGCGCGAGUACGAGCGCGAGUAGCGCCGGUACUUCCGCUGGUGGCGCCUGCGGGACCGGGACCUGCUCCUCCCCCGGGGCGGGCUCCGACUCCGCGACGACGCCCGGCUCGGGGCGCUGGAGCGGGACCGAGAGCUUCGGGAAGACGAUCGGCUCCUGGACGCCGAGGACAGGCGGCUGGACCGGCCCGACCGGGACGUCGACGGGGACUCCUUGUCCUGCGGCGAGCCGGGCCACAGGUCGUUCACGUACUGGGACAUGUCGGCCCGAGGCUGCAAGUCUCCCCGCCCGGAAACUCGGCGCCUGAAAACAACUAGGGAGGGCGGGGGAGGGGCACGGAAGUGAGUCGCGCGGGCGGCGGCGGGGCCCCAAAGCGACAAACUGUACAAGCCACUCCGAUCCCAGGCGGUGGCGACCCCGAAGGCUGGCCUGCCCGCCCCACCAGCGGCCCCCUCGCUGCGCCACCCGCCAGCCCAGGCUCCUGCCCCCCGGCGCCCCAGGCACCUGGAACCGACCCCGUCACCAGGAAACUUCCACCACAGGCCGUCGACGCCUCACCGAAGACGAAAAGGAAGGGCCAGCAGAUGCCUUCCUUUCGAGGCUGAGGACGGAGAGAGCGUUUUCCCAAAUUACUCUCCAACAGGAGACACUCAACCGCCACCUACGACCUCCACACGCGAACUGAGGCAAGAAAUGGAGGGAAUAAGGACCUUAUCACAGAAUCUGCACCCACCCAUACGAUCUGCCGUGGCACUGUCCACAAUAUCAUACACAACUCUACAGCAGCAGCAUGAUGGAAAUCGCUCUUAAGGAAAUGUUUAGAAACACUUUUCUACGUGGCAUCACAAAUAAACAGAAGACACUGCCUGUCUGCCAGGAACUUUUGCUGAAAGUUGUCAUGCAGCUGUGUGAAUGGAUGGAAAAAUAAAAUGAAUUUCAGAUUUGACAAGUGUAAAAAGGACAUGUUAGGGGAAAUAAUGUGGAACCUUAUGUAUAAGAUGAUGGAGUCUUGAGCUUUUGGUUAUUAAAAAGGACAGUGUGGUAGGAAUCUCUGUAACUGGCUCAAAAUCUCAGUCAAAUGUUUGCCUAAACUAAGGGGACUAGAAAAAUCCUGGAUGUUAACAGUAGGAAUAUUGGAAGCACAGUGGAAAACAUUACCUUGCCCUUGAGCAUAAUAUGGGCAUAUUUGUAUCUAGAAUAUGUGUAGUCUACCUGAGUUAAAGUCUGCAAAGUCUGUCAGUGUUUAUUUUUCUAAGCAACACAGUCUUCCCUGAGCAUCUAUUCCCUCACUUGAUUAAAAAUCCAAUUUCGGUUAUCAGUAAA